UGUAAUGUGAAACCGUACUUGCAAAGGCACUUCUAUUUUCAUUGCAUCAGCUGGUUGCUCUUCUAGGCCACAUGUGAAAAAUAGAUGGAAAUGGUGCUCACAGGCACCUUCUCCAGCACCAAAGGCAGUUGCUGGUACAGUUUGGGAAACAAGAAAUGUCUUAAUUACUCGAGUGAUGGAUGUCUUGGAAAGCCUAAUGGAGGCAGGAAGAAGUAUGUGUUGAGCUAGAACUUGAGUCCGAGACAAUAGCUGAUCAACAUUUUCUCACUGGUCAAAGAUGCACUAACC
Molecule: long non-coding RNA, 288 nt
Organism: Parus major (Great Tit)
Lineage: Eukaryota; Metazoa; Chordata; Aves; Passeriformes; Paridae
Exons: 3
Source: RefSeq, a predicted model, not a curated record